UAUAAUAAAUUUACCUCUUGCGCCACAGGUCUCAUUUGAAACAAAGAGUUAUUCGACAAUAAAUGCUUGACAAAUUGGCAAUAAUUAGAUCCUUUUAAUAAUACAAAUUGAAAGAAACAUAGCUUCAAACUAUGUAAUAGAGUUUUCAAAAUGCGGGCAUUCUCCCUAUAUAAUUUUGCUAUGUAAGUUGGAACUUAGGAAUCCAUGUCCCGGUUUAUCCUUGAUACAUUGUUGGUAACUCAUCUCCCAGUCUAGAUCCAUAACAUUUUGCCCUUCACAGCCCCUUUAUAGUCUUGACGUACUGGUUUUCAAUGUCACGCUGGGAACACCAUUCCUGAUCAAAUAAUAGCAUGCUAUAGAUAUCGAGCAAUAAUAUAGUGUGAAUAACUUAACAUGGAAAUAUGAUAGUAAGACUAAUGGAACACAAAGUAUACCUCCUGCAAUUUCUUCCAUCUUCCUUUCCAUUCUACAGGAAAAGGUUGCAACAUGAGGAAUAGCCUACAGAAAUAGAUAGUAUCGAAUACUGCACAAGUCAAUAAAAAUGUUACUGCUAGCCAUAGUGCAUACAUUCUAUCUCUUAUUGUACUUUUUGCAUCCUACUACGACUCAGAGCACAUACAUGACAUAUCCUGGUAAUGCCAAAUUGUUGUUUGCAACUUUACUGGUAAAUCAAUUCAGUUUACAUGCAACUAAUAAAAAUUUCCAGGGAAAUGUUGUAGUGAUAUCAUGGUGGUGCAAGCAUAGAAGUUGUUACAGAGUGGAAAGAACAGUCUAGAUUUUCAGUACUGAAGUUUUCCGGCCUAGUAUUGCAGAAAGCUAAAGUUUAUUAAGAGCAUUAUCUCCCAACACACAUAAGGAACCCAAAAGCUGCAAACAGUGAUAUGCCUAAAAAAUUACAGCAUAUUAUUAGCUGAAAGAUCUAGAUGUUGUGUGAUAUGUGACAGAAUACUCAUUGUAUGAUGUACAUGAGGAGGUUUGUGAGCAAAUUGACACACUGUUAAAUGAGUCAUAGGACAGUACUAGAUAGAGCAUUCACUCCUUCAAAAUGUAUUCAAUAAACUGAAAGAGAAAUGCAUCAUGUUACAGGUGUAGCCAAGUACAGUUGAAAGCGAACUUGAUAUAGCUUUGUAAAGUUGAAAGUAUAAAACUUCAUACAAGGUAAAGCAAGUCAAAUCAGAGGGGAAAGGAGGGCAGCAACAUGCACCUGGAGCAAGAGGGGGCACAAUCUCGUGUUGUGGCUUUCUGAAAUAGAGAACACUUUUAUAUCAACUAAAACAGGUUCAGGAGAUGAACAAUCAGAUAGAGUAGCUCAAAUGCAUUAAUAACUUCCCUUCGGCCUUGCAGACAACACUGCAAGAAGAGGCUUCGUAACUCAACCACAUCAUCUAUACAAAGGGCAAAAAGAAAAGGAAAGUGAAUUGUGUGUACGCAUACACUGGAAGACACUGCAGACCAGUUCCUAAUGCUUCUCUGGGUCUUAUAGCCAUCAGUUAUUACGUGAGCAGGAGAACAGAGAAAAACAAAGUGCAGAUCUUAGUCUCUAAGGCAUUUCAUCAAUCAUGUAAAGAUCUAAAGAUGAAGCGGUUCUGGAUUUGGGUUGGGAAAUUGGCUGAGCAAUUAUGACCAGGCUGCACCAAUAAGUCCUUGCCAACAUGUAAAUUAUCCAGUCAAUAGAAAUGGUAUACCUUCGUAAAUAACCUGUCCUAUUUAAACAACUAAAUUUGUAAUCUGUUAUUAAUCCAGGACAAAGUGAGGCAAGGUCUUCAGAAACAUCAAGCCGACAGUCUCAAAUUGGAGGCUUGAAGUAAAAAAGGAUCUUCAACUACUCUACUUCAACACAAGAUCAAAGACGAGCAUUCCACCUUGUUCAAGCAGGCUGUCAGAUCAAUUUUAAAAUGAUUGUCAUGUUGCCCAAAACUAAAAUUGGAUAACAGCUCUGCCCCAUUAGCUUAGAUCUUUUUUCUUUUGUUUCUAUGUUCUCCUUUCCCUUUGUAACAUACUGUUUUUUAAUGAAAAUAUACCAUAGAAAUAUUGUUCUACGGUUUGCUAUUCAAAAAAAGUGAAAUUACCUAAAGGGCUAUGUCCAUCUUCUUCAGUCCUAUUCACACUGAGCGGAAAUAACAGAAAACUCACAAACAUGACAAAAAAAUAGAUCUUCUUCAGUCCUAUUCAUAUGGUUCAUAUGUACCAAUGCAUGGUUUUUGUAUAUAAAUAGAAAAUUUGAAGGCACAUGUUCCAGUUUUCUUUAUUUACUGGAACACCAUAGAGAUCACAUGCCUAUAGUUUGUCGUGCAAGAUUCUGCAAAUUAAUAGCUAGAGCGGCAUUUCACUACAACAAUCAGUGGAUAAUGUAUUUGACUAAAGUAGUACUAUUAUAGUGUCUCUAUUGUAUCUCAAGAAUUAACUGGAUGUUUGUACAACAAAUACUAUUCAUGAGCAAUUGUCACAUGCAAUCCAGUCCUUCAUCCAGCGCAACAAGAUGGAUCCAUAUCCAUAAUUGGCGUUCUAAUGAAGUGCGGUUUCUUUCAAAAAACUAGUCCAAGAAUUGGACAAAUAUGCUUCUGUGUACAACAGAAAGAGUGAGCGCGGGGGGCAUCGAGUUACCACGGCCUCCAAAAUAGGUAUAAUAACCGAAACAAGCGGACAAAUGCUGCUCACACCCAUACACGAAAUAUAAGCAGGACGAGGACAAACAACACACAGCGCCCGAACAUAUCCGGAAUAUUUAAACGAUCAGCACGACAUACAGAUAUUUAAAAGAUCACCAACGCAGACAACAUGACACAGAAGAUACUGAAAGUAAAAUACGCACACAUGUAGUAGAAAGGAAAGAAGAAAAC
This 2840-nucleotide long non-coding RNA is filed under the name Triticum aestivum (bread wheat). RNAcentral's name for it is "long non-coding RNA (TAES_LNC020892)". The record is from RNAcentral. Lineage: Eukaryota; Viridiplantae; Streptophyta; Magnoliopsida; Poales; Poaceae.